CAGGAGCCGACCUACCAUCCCCAUGUUGAGCUUUCCAGCGUUUCUGGGGCCUCCUGUCUGGUUGCCGGGGAUGGAUGGCCCAGGGUUGGGGUGGUGAUCAGGGGAGGACAACUGGGGUGGGCUGGCUGAUGAUGUUCCACAGGAGCCCGUGCCCACGCUGUGGAACGAGCCGGCCGAGCUGCCGUCGGGAGAAGGCCCCGUGGAGAGCACCAGCCCCGGCCGGGAGCCCGUGGACACCGGUCCCCCAGCCCCCACCGUCGCGCCGGGACCCGAGGACAGCACCGCGCAGGAGCGGCUGGACCAGGGCGGCGGGUCGCUGGGGCCUGGCGCCAUCGCGGCCAUCGUGAUCGCCGCCCUGCUGGCCACCUGCGUGGUGCUGGCGCUCGUGGUCGUCGCGCUGAGAAAGUUUUCCGCCUCCUGAAGCGAAUAAAGGGGCCGCGCCCGGCCGCGGCGCGACUCGGCUGCA
This 466-nucleotide small RNA is filed under the name Pongo abelii (Sumatran orangutan). RNAcentral's name for it is "processed transcript". The record is from RNAcentral. Lineage: Eukaryota; Metazoa; Chordata; Mammalia; Primates; Hominidae.